Molecule: long non-coding RNA, 614 nt
Organism: Entelurus aequoreus (snake pipefish)
Lineage: Eukaryota; Metazoa; Chordata; Actinopteri; Syngnathiformes; Syngnathidae
Exons: 4
Source: RefSeq, a predicted model, not a curated record
UUACAAACCAACAAACAGAGGGAAAGCGAUGCUGGGCUGCUGUGUCAAGUCGAGGGCAGGGCGAACCGGGCUUGAACCCCGCGCAGCGACCCGGCCAUCCACCCCGCCGGAGGUGAGGCUGUGGGAGUUUAGCGGGCAGUUUGGCACCUCUCAGGGUGAACGCCCACCCUCUGAGGCCGGGCUGCCUGCCACCUGUCUGGACCUCCACGGUCCUGCAGCCCUGACGUGACCUCCAGGGUGGGGGGGAGGAUUCCAGAGGAACUCUGUGAAGUACGUGUACACGAUGGGGAUGGAGCCGCCGAUUCUGCAACGAGAGCCCAAAGACGGCGUUCAAAGCGGUCGUCAUCCGGUCAAACCGGAGCAGAACCUGAAGAAGAGGAAGAAGCCGUAGCUCUGAGCGAAGCAGGACAGGAAGGAGAAGACCAGGUCGAUGCUCAGGACGUAGAUCAGGCACUUUCUGCGGCCCAUCUUGUCACACAGACCCCCCCACACCAGGGCGCCCACCAUCAUGGCCACGUACACCAGCAGGCCUGGCAACAAAGUACGUAGAGUUUCUCACACAACAUGCAUCAUGACACAGGCAGCUUAAUAGCAAUACCAAAUAAACAAUAAUA